AACGAACGCUGGCGGCGUGCCUAACACAUGCAAGUCGUGCGAGAAAGUUCCUUCGGGAGCGAGUAAAGCGGCGCACGGGUGAGUAACACGUAGGUAACCUGCCCCCCAGUCUGGAACAACUAGAGGAAACUCUAGCUAAUGCCGGAUGAGACCACGAUCCCUUCGGGGGUUGCGGCCAAAGAUGGCCUCUACUUGUAAGCUAUCGCUGAGGGAUGGGCCUGCGGGCCAUUAGCUUGUUGGUGAGGUAACGGCUCACCAAGGCUGUGAUGGCUAGCUGGUCUGAGAGGAUGACCAGCCACACUGGGACUGAGACACGGCCCAGACUCCUACGGAGGCAGCAGUGGGGAAUAUUGCGCAAUGGGACGAAAGCCUGACGCAGCGACGCCGCGU
RNAcentral lists this ribosomal RNA (390 nucleotides) under uncultured bacterium. RNAcentral's name for it is "bacterial SSU rRNA". It matches the Rfam family "Bacterial small subunit ribosomal RNA", at positions 29 to 402 of the family's 1533-position model. The record is from RNAcentral.